GAUGAACGCUGGCGGCGUGCCUAACACAUGCAAGUCGAGCGGCAGCGCGCGGUGCUUGCACCCUGUCGGCGAGCGGCGGACGGCUGAGUAACGCGUGGGAACGUGCCCCAAAGUGAGGAAUAACUGCCCGAAAGGGUAGCUAAUACCGCAUAUUAUCUUCGGUUCAAAGGAUUUAUCCGCUUUGGGAGCGGCUCGCGUCGGAUUAGGUAGUUGGUGAGGUAAUGGCUCACCAAGCCGACGAUCCGUAGCUGGUCUGAGAGGAUGACCAGCCAGACUGGAACUGAGACACGGUCCAGACUCCGACGGGAGGCAGCAGUGAGGAAUCUUCCACAAUGGGCGAAAGCCUGAUGGAGCAACGCCGCGUGCAGGACGAAGGCCUUCGGGUUGUAAACUGCUUUUAUAAGUGAGGAAUAUGACGGUAACUUAUGAAUAAGGAUCGGCUAACUACGUG
This 451-nucleotide ribosomal RNA is filed under the name uncultured bacterium. RNAcentral's name for it is "partial 16S ribosomal RNA". It matches the Rfam family "Bacterial small subunit ribosomal RNA", at positions 28 to 507 of the family's 1533-position model. The record is from RNAcentral.